This 520-nucleotide unclassified non-coding RNA is filed under the name uncultured Entrophospora. RNAcentral describes it as "SSU rRNA". It matches the Rfam family "Eukaryotic small subunit ribosomal RNA", at positions 569 to 1083 of the family's 1831-position model. Lineage: Eukaryota; Fungi; Glomeromycota; Glomeromycetes; Entrophosporales; Entrophosporaceae. The record is from RNAcentral.
AGCAGCCGCGGUAAUUCCAGCUCCAAUAGCGUAUAUUAAAGUUGUUGCAGUUAAAAGCUCGUAGUUGAAUUUCGGGAUUGACGUAAUGGUCGCGCCUUAAGGGGUAUGAACUGUUACUGUUGAUUUCUCACCUUCUGGAGAAUCUUGAUGUCCUUAAUUGGGUGUCUUGUGGAUCCAGGACCUUUACCUUGAAAAAUUGAGUGUUUAAAGCAGGCAUUUUGCUCGAAUACAUUAGCAUGGAAUAAUAGAAUAGGACGGCAUGGUUCUAUUUUGUUGGUUUCUAGGAUCACCGUAAUGAUUAAUAGGGAUAGUUGGGGGCAUUAGUAUUCAAUUGUCAGAGGUGAAAUUCUUAGGAUUUAUUGAAGACUAACUACUGCGAAAGCAAUUUGCCAAGGAUGUUUUCAUUAAUCAAGAACGAAAGUUAGGGAUACGAAGACGAUCAGAUACCGUCGUAGUCUUAACCAUAAACUAUGCCGACUAGGAAUCAGACGAUGUUAAUUUUUAAUUGUACUUCGUUGGG